CCUACGGGUGGCAGCAGUGGGGAAUAUUGCACAAUGGGGGAAACCCUGAUGCAGCGACGCCGCGUGAGUGAAGAAGUAUUUCGGUACGUAAAGCUCUAUCAGCAGGGAAGAAAAUGACGGUACCUGACUAAGAAGCCCCGGCGAACUACGUGCCAGCAGCCGCGGUAAUACGUAGGGGGCAAGCGUUAUCCGGAUUUACUGGCUGUAAAGGGGGCGUAGGCGGCAGCGCAAGUCUGGGGUGAAAUCCCAUGGCUUAACCAUGGAACGGCUUUGGAAACUGUGCAGAUAGAGUGCAGGAGAGGUAAGCGGAAUUCCUAGUGUAGCGGUGAAAUGCGUAGAUAUAAGGAGGAACACCAGUGGCGAAGGCGGCUUACUGGACUGUAACUGACGUUGAGGCUCGAAAGCGUGGGGAGCAAACAGGAUUAGAUACCCGAGUAGUC
Molecule: ribosomal RNA, 440 nt
Filed under: uncultured bacterium
Lineage: Bacteria
Description: partial 16S ribosomal RNA
Rfam family: Bacterial small subunit ribosomal RNA
Source: RNAcentral